GACGAACGCUGGCGGCGUGCCUAAUACAUGCAAGUCGAACGAGUUGCGGACGGGUGAGUAACACGUGGGAACCUACCCAUCAGAGGGGGAUAACACUUGGAAACAGGUGCUAAUACCGCAUACUGAUGGAUGGACCCGCGGUGCAUUAGCUAGUAGGUGGGGUAAAGGCUCACCUAGGCGACGAUCUCUAGGUGGUCUGAGAGGAUGGACAGCCACACUGGGACUGCGACACGGCCCAGACUCCUACGGGCGGCAGCAGUGGGGAAUAUUGCACAAUGGGCGCAAGCCUGAUGCAGCCAUGCCGCGUGUGUGAAGAAGGCCUUAGGGUUGUAAAGUACUUUCAGCGGGGAGGCGUUACCCGCAGAAGAAGCACCGGCUAACUCCGUGCCAGCAGCCGCGGUAAUAC
This 406-nucleotide ribosomal RNA is filed under the name uncultured bacterium. RNAcentral describes it as "partial 16S ribosomal RNA". It matches the Rfam family "Bacterial small subunit ribosomal RNA", at positions 28 to 526 of the family's 1533-position model. The record is from RNAcentral.